UUUUUGGUAUUUUUAUUUGUUUUACUUUGGGAACUAAAAUACUAGCACAUGCUAACAUGAGAAACAAGGAAAACUACAAGACAGCAACACAUAUAUGUUCAGCAACUAGUAUGAAAGAAAAGAAUUAAGAUCAAGGGACAAGAACAGAAGUACUUCACAUCACAAGCAUAUAUAUACUCACACGUACAUAGCUAACACAGGGACUAAGAAUUAAAGAUGUUCAAACUACUCACUUGACAGAGAGCACAAACAACACAAAAAUAGACAAGUAAGCUAGGUUCUUACAAAUGACUAGUUGAUAAACAGAGCACAUAUAUUGAACAGUACUACUAGACAAAUCUGAACAACACAUGCCAUACAAAUCUCAAUUCUAAACAUUACAAAAUACUAAACAUUAUACUACUCAAGAUUACAGAAAUUUGAGAGAGAGAAACAACAGCAGCAAGUUAGGGAAGUUGAGCGGAGGAGGAGCAGCGAAGGGGUUCAGAGAGAAAGAGAGAGACAGCAGGGGCGGCAGUAAGUUCAGAGAAGGAGCAGCAGCAGUAGGUUCAGAGAAAGAGUAGCAGUAGGUUCAGAGAAGGAGCGGCAAUAAGGUUUGGGAAGAAGAGGCAGCAGGGGAAAGGAGUAGUAGAAGCAGCGUGGAGGCGCAGGGGAGAAGAGAGCAACAACAGUUUGAGGCGAGGGAAGAAGAGAAGCAGCAGUAGGUUCAGAGAAGGCUUCAACAGAGGCGCAACAUGUAGUUUGGAGAUGGAGAAGGAGUUCGGGUUCAGGGAGCAACAACAGAGGUGAGGAAGAAGAGGGUAGCAGUAGGAGGACUGGAGGAUGGUGUGGUGGCGCUGGAUAUGGUGAUGGAUGGUGUGUGGCGGCGGUGCUGGAGAUGGUGAUGGAUGGCGCGGUGGUUCGAGGUGGUGAUGCGGCGCUGGUAGUGGCGGGUGGUGGAGAUGGAGUGGAUGAUGGAGUGGUGGCUGGAUGGACGGCGCUGGGCGCUGGUGGCGCACCUACCACGCCGGCCUGGCCAUGGCGGCGGCCAGAGGUGGAGAAGAAGGGUAAGGGAAAGAGAGAGAUGCCAGGCCCGAUUUGGGGAUUGAGAGCGCUAGGGAUUUGAUCCCCUUAAUCAGAUCUUCCCCUUUGCAAUCUGGCCCCUCUCCUUUUCUUCCUUCUGCACAAGUUGGUCCUCCUCUUAUUUAGGCAAACCCUUCAAGCUUUAGUGUUCAUCACACUUGGGUCCCUCCAUCUUUCUGUCCUGCCCUUGUCUCUUCUCAUCAGCCCCAUAGUCCAAAUUUUGAAGUUUAUAGGCCUUUUCGCCCUAUUCUGCAAAAUAAACAAAUUACUAGUCACGAGCUCUUUCGUGAAUAUCAUUUGAAUAUUCGAUAAUUCUAAGCAAGGAUAGAUUGACAUAUCUCAAUAAAUGGUGUAUAUGUGUGCCCAAAUCGUAUAUAUGAAAUGUGCUUAUCAAGUACCCCCACACUUAAAUCUUUGCUUGUCCUCAAGCAAAGGCAUUUGACAAGAGCAAGGUAGUGAUCAGCGAACUGACUAGAGAAUGUCCCAGUGAAGUAGAUCUCCAAACAAUGCAUGCUUUGAACUUUUGCUAGUGAAAAUCAAUGGUUAAGAGUGCUACAAAGCAGUAUGAUACUAGUAAGCAUGACCAUUUUUAACUUUUACAAUGAUAAAAGAGGAUCAACAAGUUUAAAUGAUGACUGUGCCAAAUGGUUCCUAAAGAGAGCAUGAUCUCGAGAACAAAAUGAACUGGAAUUAAAUCUUGUGAUCAAUCGAUCAUUUUGGCGCCUAUCACGCGGGUGACCUGAGUUCGAUCCCCGGCAACGGCGCCAAAAUGAUCGAUUGAAAGUGCAGCGGGAUAUUUACGCCCCAAACUACGGAUGUCGUAUUCUCCUCAGGGACUAGGCAACGACAGUCGUGCUCGGCCAAAGCUAGAUCUGACGAAAAGGUUUUUGAUAUUGCAAAACAAACGAAAAUAAAGCAAGUUUGUUCCAGAAAAUCAUUGACAAAUAAGAUGUACUCACUAUAUUUUUGGUAUUUUUAUUUGUUUUACUUUGGUAACUAAAAUACUAGCACAUGCUAACAUGAGAAACAAGGAAAACUGCUAGACAGCAACACAUAUAUGUUCAGCAACUAGUAUGAAAGAAAAGAAUUAAUAUCAAGGGACAAGAACAGAAGUACUUCACAUCACAAGCAUAUAUAUACUCACACGUACAUAGCUAACACAUGGACUAAGAAUUAAAGAUGUUCAAACUACUCACUUGACAGAGAGCACAAACAACACAAAAAUAGACAAGUAAGCUAGGUUCUUACAAAUGACUAGUUGAUAAACAGAGCACAUAUAUUGAACAGUACUACUAGACAAAUCUGAACAACACAUGCCAUACAAAUCUCAAUUCUAAACAUUACAAAAUACUAAACAUUAUACUACUCAAGAUUACAGAAAUUUGAGAGAGAGAGAAACAGCAGCGGCAAGUUAGGGAAGUUGAGCGAAGGACUAGCAGCGAAGGGGUUCAGAGAGAAAGUGAGAGACAGCAGGGGCAGCAGUAAGUUCAGAGAAGGAGCAGCAGCAGUAGGUUCAGAGAAAGAGUAGCAGUAGGUUCAGAGAAGGAGCGGCAGCAUGGUUUGGGAAGAAGAGGCAGUAGGGUAAAGGAGUAGUAGAAGCAGCGUGGAGGCGCAGAGGAGAAGAGAGCAACAGCAGUUUGAGGCGAGGGAAGAAGAGAAGCAGCAGUAGGUUCAGAGAAGGCUUCAGCAGAGGCGCAGCAUGCAGUUUGGAGAUGGAGAAGGAGUUCGGGUUCAGGGGAGCAACAACGGAGGUGAGGAAGAAGAGGGUAGCAGUAGGAGGACUGGAGGAUGGUGUGGUGGCGUUGGAUAUGGUGAUGGAUGGUGUGCGGUGGCGGUGCUGGAUGGCGCGGUGGUUCGAGGUGGUGAUGCGGCGCUGGCAGCGACGGUUGGUGGAGAUGGAGUGGAUGAUGGAGUGGUGGCUGGAUGGAUGGCGCUGGUUGCUGGUGGUGCACCUACCAUGCCAGCCUGGCCAUGGCGGCGGCCGGAGGUGGAGAAGGAGGGUAAGGGAAAGAGAGAGAGAUGCCAGACCCGAUUUGGGGAUUGAGAGCGCUAGGGAUUUGAUCCCCUCGAUCAGAUCUUCCCCUUUGCAAUCUGGCCCCUCUCCUUUUCUUCCUUCUGCACAAGUUGGUCCUCCUCUUAUUUAGGCAAACCCUUCAAGCUUUAGUGUACAUCACACUUGGGUCCCUCCAUCUUUCUGUCGUGCCCUUGUCUCUUCUCAUUAGCCCCAUAGUCCAAAUCUUGAAGUUUAUAGGCCUUUUCGCCUUAUUCUGCAAAAUAAAC
This 3342-nucleotide long non-coding RNA is filed under the name Triticum aestivum (bread wheat). RNAcentral's name for it is "long non-coding RNA (TAES_LNC023675)". Lineage: Eukaryota; Viridiplantae; Streptophyta; Magnoliopsida; Poales; Poaceae. The record is from RNAcentral.